AUUGAACGCUGGCGGCAGGCCUAACACAUGCAAGUCGAGCGAGCGGCGGACGGGUGAGGAAUGUCUGGGAAACUGCCUGAUGGAGGGGGAUAACUACUGGAAACGGUAGAUAAUACCGCAUAACAUCAGAUGUGCCCAGGUGGGAGUAGCAAGUAGGAGGGGUAACGGCUCAUCUAGGCGAAGAUCCCUAGAUGGUAUGAGAGGAUGACCAGCCACACUGGAACGGAGACACGGUCCAGACUCCUACGGGAGGCAGCAGUGGGGAAUAUUGCACAAUGGGCGCAAGCCUGAUGCAGCCAUGCCGCGUGGGUGAAGAAGGCCUUCGGGUUGUAAAUCACUUUCAGCGGGGAGGCGUUACCCGCAGAAGAAGCACCGGCUAACUCCGUGCCAGCAGCCGCGGUAAUAC
Molecule: ribosomal RNA, 406 nt
Filed under: uncultured bacterium
Lineage: Bacteria
Description: partial 16S ribosomal RNA
Rfam family: Bacterial small subunit ribosomal RNA
Source: RNAcentral